CGGCGGACGGGUGAGUAACGCGUGGGUAACCUACCCUGUACACACGGAUAACAUACCGAAAGGUAUGCUAAUACGGGAUAAUAUAUUUGAGAGGCAUCUCUUAAAUAUCAAAGGUGAGCCAGUACAGGAUGGACCCGCGUCUGAUUAGCUCGUUGGUAAGGUAACGGCUUACCAAGGCGACGAUCAGUAGCCGACCUGAGAGGGUGAUCGGCCACAUUGGAACUGAGACACGGUCCAA
This 238-nucleotide ribosomal RNA is filed under the name uncultured bacterium. Its description in RNAcentral is "partial 16S ribosomal RNA". It matches the Rfam family "Bacterial small subunit ribosomal RNA", at positions 96 to 334 of the family's 1533-position model. The record is from RNAcentral.